This 2870-nucleotide ribosomal RNA is filed under the name Escherichia coli 1-110-08_S3_C3. RNAcentral describes it as "bacterial LSU rRNA". It matches the Rfam family "Bacterial large subunit ribosomal RNA". The record is from RNAcentral. Lineage: Bacteria; Pseudomonadati; Pseudomonadota; Gammaproteobacteria; Enterobacterales; Enterobacteriaceae.
UAAGCGACUAAGCGUACACGGUGGAUGCCCUGGCAGUCAGAGGCGAUGAAGGACGUGCUAAUCUGCGAUAAGCGUCGGUAAGGUGAUAUGAACCGUUAUAACCGGCGAUUUCCGAAUGGGGAAACCCAGUGUGUUUCGACACACUAUCAUUAACUGAAUCCAUAGGUUAAUGAGGCGAACCGGGGGAACUGAAACAUCUAAGUACCCCGAGGAAAAGAAAUCAACCGAGAUUCCCCCAGUAGCGGCGAGCGAACGGGGAGCAGCCCAGAGCCUGAAUCAGUGUGUGUGUUAGUGGAAGCGUCUGGAAAGGCGCGCGAUACAGGGUGACAGCCCCGUACACAAAAAUGCACAUGCUGUGAGCUCGAUGAGUAGGGCGGGACACGUGGUAUCCUGUCUGAAUAUGGGGGGACCAUCCUCCAAGGCUAAAUACUCCUGACUGACCGAUAGUGAACCAGUACCGUGAGGGAAAGGCGAAAAGAACCCCGGCGAGGGGAGUGAAAAAGAACCUGAAACCGUGUACGUACAAGCAGUGGGAGCACGCUUAGGCGUGUGACUGCGUACCUUUUGUAUAAUGGGUCAGCGACUUAUAUUCUGUAGCAAGGUUAACCGAAUAGGGGAGCCGAAGGGAAACCGAGUCUUAACUGGGCGUUAAGUUGCAGGGUAUAGACCCGAAACCCGGUGAUCUAGCCAUGGGCAGGUUGAAGGUUGGGUAACACUAACUGGAGGACCGAACCGACUAAUGUUGAAAAAUUAGCGGAUGACUUGUGGCUGGGGGUGAAAGGCCAAUCAAACCGGGAGAUAGCUGGUUCUCCCCGAAAGCUAUUUAGGUAGCGCCUCGUGAAUUCAUCUCCGGGGGUAGAGCACUGUUUCGGCAAGGGGGUCAUCCCGACUUACCAACCCGAUGCAAACUGCGAAUACCGGAGAAUGUUAUCACGGGAGACACACGGCGGGUGCUAACGUCCGUCGUGAAGAGGGAAACAACCCAGACCGCCAGCUAAGGUCCCAAAGUCAUGGUUAAGUGGGAAACGAUGUGGGAAGGCCCAGACAGCCAGGAUGUUGGCUUAGAAGCAGCCAUCAUUUAAAGAAAGCGUAAUAGCUCACUGGUCGAGUCGGCCUGCGCGGAAGAUGUAACGGGGCUAAACCAUGCACCGAAGCUGCGGCAGCGACGCUGAUGCGUUGUUGGGUAGGGGAGCGUUCUGUAAGCCUGCGAAGGUGUGCUGUGAGGCAUGCUGGAGGUAUCAGAAGUGCGAAUGCUGACAUAAGUAACGAUAAAGCGGGUGAAAAGCCCGCUCGCCGGAAGACCAAGGGUUCCUGUCCAACGUUAAUCGGGGCAGGGUGAGUCGACCCCUAAGGCGAGGCCGAAAGGCGUAGUCGAUGGGAAACAGGUUAAUAUUCCUGUACUUGGUGUUACUGCGAAGGGGGGACGGAGAAGGCUAUGUUGGCCGGGCGACGGUUGUCCCGGUUUAAGCGUGUAGGCUGGUUUUCCAGGCAAAUCCGGAAAAUCAAGGCUGAGGCGUGAUGACGAGGCACUACGGUGCUGAAGCAACAAAUGCCCUGCUUCCAGGAAAAGCCUCUAAGCAUCAGGUAACAUCAAAUCGUACCCCAAACCGACACAGGUGGUCAGGUAGAGAAUACCAAGGCGCUUGAGAGAACUCGGGUGAAGGAACUAGGCAAAAUGGUGCCGUAACUUCGGGAGAAGGCACGCUGAUAUGUAGGUGAAGUCCCUCGCGGAUGGAGCUGAAAUCAGUCGAAGAUACCAGCUGGCUGCAACUGUUUAUUAAAAACACAGCACUGUGCAAACACGAAAGUGGACGUAUACGGUGUGACGCCUGCCCGGUGCCGGAAGGUUAAUUGAUGGGGUUAGCCGCAAGGCGAAGCUCUUGAUCGAAGCCCCGGUAAACGGCGGCCGUAACUAUAACGGUCCUAAGGUAGCGAAAUUCCUUGUCGGGUAAGUUCCGACCUGCACGAAUGGCGUAAUGAUGGCCAGGCUGUCUCCACCCGAGACUCAGUGAAAUUGAACUCGCUGUGAAGAUGCAGUGUACCCGCGGCAAGACGGAAAGACCCCGUGAACCUUUACUAUAGCUUGACACUGAACAUUGAGCCUUGAUGUGUAGGAUAGGUGGGAGGCUUAGAAGUGUGGACGCCAGUCUGCAUGGAGCCGACCUUGAAAUACCACCCUUUAAUGUUUGAUGUUCUAACGUUGACCCGUAAUCCGGGUUGCGGACAGUGUCUGGUGGGUAGUUUGACUGGGGCGGUCUCCUCCUAAAGAGUAACGGAGGAGCACGAAGGUUGGCUAAUCCUGGUCGGACAUCAGGAGGUUAGUGCAAUGGCAUAAGCCAGCUUGACUGCGAGCGUGACGGCGCGAGCAGGUGCGAAAGCAGGUCAUAGUGAUCCGGUGGUUCUGAAUGGAAGGGCCAUCGCUCAACGGAUAAAAGGUACUCCGGGGAUAACAGGCUGAUACCGCCCAAGAGUUCAUAUCGACGGCGGUGUUUGGCACCUCGAUGUCGGCUCAUCACAUCCUGGGGCUGAAGUAGGUCCCAAGGGUAUGGCUGUUCGCCAUUUAAAGUGGUACGCGAGCUGGGUUUAGAACGUCGUGAGACAGUUCGGUCCCUAUCUGCCGUGGGCGCUGGAGAACUGAGGGGGGCUGCUCCUAGUACGAGAGGACCGGAGUGGACGCAUCACUGGUGUUCGGGUUGUCAUGCCAAUGGCACUGCCCGGUAGCUAAAUGCGGAAGAGAUAAGUGCUGAAAGCAUCUAAGCACGAAACUUGCCCCGAGAUGAGUUCUCCCUGACCCUUUAAGGGUCCUGAAGGAACGUUGAAGACGACGACGUUGAUAGGCCGGGUGUGUAAGCGCAGCGAUGCGUUGAGCU